GACGAACGCUGGCGGCGUGCUUAACACAUGCAAGUCGAACGGAAAGGCCCUGCUUUUUUGGGGUUCCCGAGUGGCAAACGGGGGAGGAACACGUGAGUAACCUGCCCUACACUUUCGGAUAACUUCGGGAAACUGAGGUUAAUACCAUACCGCAUCUCCUCCUGCAUGGAGGGGAGUGGAACUUUUCGGCUGUCUGGGCUGGAUGGGCGGGUUAUGGGCUUGUUAGUGGGGGAGUGGCUGACCAAGGCUGUGAAGGGUAGCCGGCAUGGGAGGGUGACCGGCCACAUUGGGACUGAGAGACGCAGCAGACUCCUACGGGAGACAGCAGUGGGGAAUAUUGUCCAAUGGGCGGAAGCCUGAUGCAGCAACGCCGCGGGCGGGAUGACGGCCUGCGGGUUGUGAACCGCUUUAGCCUGUGACGAAGCGUGAGUGACGGUAAUGAGUAAAGAAGCACCGGCUAACUACGUG
RNAcentral lists this ribosomal RNA (468 nucleotides) under uncultured bacterium. RNAcentral describes it as "partial 16S ribosomal RNA". It matches the Rfam family "Bacterial small subunit ribosomal RNA", at positions 28 to 507 of the family's 1533-position model. The record is from RNAcentral.